This 474-nucleotide long non-coding RNA is filed under the name Nicotiana benthamiana. Its description in RNAcentral is "long non-coding RNA (NBEN_LNC023642)". Lineage: Eukaryota; Viridiplantae; Streptophyta; Magnoliopsida; Solanales; Solanaceae. The record is from RNAcentral.
CCAAAAACUCAAGUAUAUUAUAUGGUAAGUGUCCGUGCAUUCGCGCGGGUGAUCAUACUAAUUAUAAUCUUACAGGAGUAAAGACGCUAUAACAAUAUACAAUCAAGCCAAAACCAAUAUUAUUGAAGUGCAGUAAGCCAUAAAAUUGGGAAAUGACAGGAAAACAAGGUUGUGGAAAGAGAUAUGGCUGGAAAAGAACACAUUCAUGGAGUUAUAUCCCCUGAUUUGCAUCACAUUGCUGUAAACACUGAACUACAAUCAAAUCCCAACGGGGACAAAAACACUAGGUGAUUUCUUCCCAUCUAAUCUGUCCAAGCCUUGGCGGACAGAGUUAACUACUGAAAUACAAUCAAAUCCCAACGGAGAAAAAAUACUAGGUGACUUCUUCCUAUCUGUUCAAGCCUUGAUGGACAGAGUUAACCGGUAGCAGGCACUCGUGGAAUUAGCCGAGGUGUGAGCUAGCCCGGACAUUAU